RNAcentral lists this ribosomal RNA (4112 nucleotides) under Patescibacteria group bacterium. RNAcentral's name for it is "23S ribosomal RNA". It matches the Rfam family "Bacterial large subunit ribosomal RNA". The record is from RNAcentral.
AAUGGGAAAUUUAAGAGCAUAUGGUGGAUGCCUUGACUCUAAGAGGCGAUGAAGGACGUAGCGUAGCUGCGAUAAGCUUCGGGGAGGUGCCUAGCAACCUUUGAUCCGGAGAUCUCCGAAUGGGGAAACCUAUUCCGAUGCAAAUCGGAAUCUUCUGACGCAAGUCAGAGAGCGUACCCAGGGAAGUAAAACAUUUCAGUACCUGGUGGAAAAUAAAACAAUGUCGCGUAAGCGACGACAUUUCCUUAGUAGUGGCGAGCGAAAAGGAAAUAGCCCAGAUCGGUCGCGCCUCGUUGGAUUCGUCACGACAGCUUUUAGUUUUUAGCUAUCAGCUUUUAGCUUUCAAAUUCAGGAAGCUAACAGUCAGAAGCUUACAGCUAUUAGUCUGCAGUGCCGAGGACAGCGAGGCGCGACUGAAGUAGUAAGGCGGCAACUUCAUUAUUUAUAAUGAGAAAAGUUACAAAAUAUUUCGUUAGCAGAAUUUGCUGGGAAGCAAAGCCCUAGAGGGUAAUAGCCCCGUAAGUGAAAAUGAAAUAUCUUUUCCGUUGCCGUUCUUGAGUACCUCAAGACACGAAUGGCUUGGGGGAAUCUGCCGGAACUAACCGGUAAGGCUAAAUACUCUUAGAGAUCGAUAGUGAACAAGUACCGUGAGGGAAAGGUGAAAAGCAGCCCGGUAAGGGCGGUGAAAUAGACCUGAAACCAUAUGCUUACAAGGAGUCGGAGUCCCUCACCAAUUUUGUGUUGUAGAAUUUUUCUAGAACCCAAAAUUGGUGAGUGGAUCACGGCGUGCCUAUUGAAGAAUGAGCCAACGAGUUGAUGUAAGCUGCUUAGCUAAGCCCCCAAAGGGUGGAGCUGUAGGGAAACCGAGUGUGAAUAGCGCGUUUGUAGUAUACAUCAGACCCGAAGCCAAGUGAGCUUGCCAUGAGCAGGGUGAAUCCCGACGAAAGUCGGGAGGAGGCCCGAACCGGUUAGCCGUGCAAUACUAUCGGAUGACUUGUGGUAAGAAGUGAAAAGCUAAUCGAACUUGGUAAUAGCUGGUUCUCUCCGAAAUAGCUUUUGGGCUAGCGUCUGGAUUACCUUCUGGGGGUAGAGCACUGGAUGGUCUAAACAGGGAGAAAUCUCAUUAGACCAAUCAAACUCCGAAUACCAGAAGUAAACUUCCAGGCAGUUAGACCGUGGGGGCUAAGCUCCAUUGGUCAAAAGGGAAACAGCCCGGAUCUCAACUUAAGGUCCCUAAAUCUACGCUAAGUACGCUUGAGGUGGUGGAAUUUCACAGACAGUGAGGAUGUUGGCUUAGAAGCAGCCAUCAUUUAAAGAUAGCGUAACAGCUCACUCACUAAGAGAUUCUGCGCCGCAGAUAAUCGGGGUUAAGCAUAGUACCGAAAUUGAGGAUGUCAUUUUGCUUCGGCAGAAUGGCGUGGUAGGAGAGUAUUCUCAUCGCGAUGAAGCCAAAGGCGCGAGCCAUGGUGGAGCGUUGAGAAGUAAGAAUGUUGGCACAAGUAACCACAAUGCGGGUGAGAACCCCGCACGCCGAAAGACCAAGGUUUCCUUGGCGAUGUCAAUCAGCCAAGGGUUAGUCGGGCCUAAGGGGAUGGCGAAAGCCGCACCCGAUGGACACAUGGUUAAUAUUCCAUGACUUUUAUGUGUUGUGACGGGAGGACGGAGUCUAGUAUGUUUUGCGCAUUAUUGGAUUUGCGUUCGUGUCGCAAGAAGGGCUUCCAGGAAAAUCCGGAAGCGAGCCGUAAGAAGGCACCCUCCAAGCGAAGCGAAAAUUUGCCGGUUCGCCGGUGAAAAUAAAACAAAGCAGACUCUCAAGAAAAUUCUCUAAACUUAAAUACAUAAAAUCCGUACCGCAAACCGACACAGGUGGUCAGCUCGAGUAGAGCAAGGCGAACGAGUGAGAGGUCCCCAAGGAACUCGGCAAAAAAGCAGCCGUAACUUCGGAAUAAGGCUUCCCCUCACCAAUUUUGGGCUAUAAUUGCAAAAUGUAUUAUGUGUAUCUGAUUCAGCAUGACCUUUCGAGAGAAAUCUAUAUCGGUUUAACAACUGAUCCGAAAGAGCGAUUGCGAACGCACAAUGGCAAAGGUAAAAAAUUUACUACCAGAAAAUCUGGCAUGUGGCAUUUUAUUUACCUUGAGCUCUUUCGUUCACAGCAAGACGCUAUCGAUCGCGAGAAAAAACUGAAAGGUCACGCAAAAGGAAAACACGAACUUCUCAAGCGACUAAAAUAUAGUUUGCUUGAGCCCAAAAUUGGUGAGGGGCGCAGCUAAAGUAUCUCUGGCAACUGUUUAUCAAAAACACAGCUCCCUGCGAACUCGCAAGAGGAUGUAUAGGGGGUGACACUUGACCAAUGCCAGAAGGUCAAACAACGACGGUGCCAAGCACCACUUUUGACGGAAUAUCAAUGUGAUUAUUUUAAAGUUUAUUUGGAAAAUAUUUUAAAGUUAUUACAAAAAGUAUUAUUUCAAAAGUGGUGCUCGGUGCUGAUUGUUGUAAGCCCUGGUGAAUGUCGGCCGUAACUAUAGAUUUGACCGUUGUAGUUACGCUAAAAAAUCUUGCUAUAUGCUGGAAACUCUGGUCCAUCAUUUAUUUAAAAAUAAGUGAUGGAAAAAAGUGUUCAUUAUUACUCGCUUUCAUCGAAAAGCAGUGACAAUAUAAUGACGCAGACAAUCAGCAGGAAAGACUUCUUUUGUAAUCAAAAGUAAAUAUGAAUUGGUUAAGCCAAAUCAAACCGGAUAUGGGAAACUAUAUCGCGGGAUUCACUGACGGCGAAGGAAGCUUCAAUGUUUCAGUGAAAAAGAGAAUUGAUUACAGAGAUCAAUGGAAAUUGACCGCUUCGUUCAAUAUUUCUCAAAAAGAUCGCGUCAUUCUGGCUCUUAUUAAAAAAGAGAUUGGAUGUGGGACUUUGCGAGAAAGAAAAGACGGGGUUGUUUAUUAUGAAGUGACCAAUAUCACUUCUCUGAAAGAAAGAAUAAUCCCGUUUUUUAAACGGUUCGGAUUUCUUUCAGCGCGAAAAAAGACAAAUUUUUCUAUUUUCUCUUCUAUUGUUGAGAAAAUGGCAGACGGAGAACAUCUGACAGAAGAAGGUUUUCAGAAAAUUCUUGAACUAAGAGAAAUUCUUAAUGAGGGAAAAGGAAGAAAACGAAAAUAUAAUUUAUCAGAUUGCGUAUCAAAAGAAGAAUCCUCAGAGACUAUACGCAAGACGGUUUCAAAUUAAUUGAAUGUCGACGAUUUGAAGACGAUGAUAUAGUCCGAUCUCUCUAGCGAUAGAGAGUUAACAAAUAGUUAAAAUUGAUAAACAGAGACUGCUAAGUUGAAGCAUUGUUUGGUGCUAAGCUACAAAAUAUAAACGGUCCUAAGGUAGCGAAAUUCCUUGUCAGGUAAGUUCUGACGCGCACGAAUAGUGUAAUGACUGGAGAACUGUCUCGGGGGCUUGCUCGGUGAAAAUACAAUACCGGUGAAGAUGCCGGUUACCUGCAGCUAGACGAAAAGACCCUAGGAGCUUUACUGCAAUUUUAUAUUGAGUGUAUGUUUCAACUGCGUAGCGUAGACGGGAGACUUUGAAGUUUCGUUCUCGGACGAAAUGGAGUCGCCGAUGAAACACCGUUCUUUUGUGAUAUGCAUUCUAAUCCGCGCGGCAAAAACGCGCGGCGACAGUAUAUGAUGGGCAGUUUUAGUGGGGCGCUAUCCUCCUAAAAAGUAACGGAGGAGCCUAUUAAGGUUGGCUAAGCGCGAAUGGAAACCGUGCUGAUAGUGUAAUGGCACAAGCCAGCUUGACUGCAAGGCGUACUUGCCGAGCAGGCGCGAAAGCGGAGCAUAGUGAACCGACGGCCCGCAUUAGACGCGGCCAAAGAUUAUCGGACAAAAGCUACCCUAGGGAUAACAGGCUGGUAGUGCCUAAGCGUCCAUAGCGACGGCACUGUUCGGCACCUCGAUGUCGGCUCAACUUAUCCUGGGGGUGGAGAAGCUCCCAAGGGUUUGGCUGUUCGCCAAUUAAAAAGUUACGCGAGCUGGGUUCAGACCGUUUAGAAGAAAACUCGAAAUUCGAAUAUCGAAAUUCGAAACAAUAUUUAAAUUUCAAAUUAUAAAUUCAAAACGAAAAUUCUCGUUUA